UGUAGGAGUGAGCCUGCUCGCGAUAGCGGUGUGUCAGACAAAAUUAAUUGACUGACCCACCGCUAUCGCGAGCAGGCUCACUCCUACA
RNAcentral lists this non-coding RNA (88 nucleotides) under Pseudomonas sp. 29. Lineage: Bacteria; Pseudomonadati; Pseudomonadota; Gammaproteobacteria; Pseudomonadales; Pseudomonadaceae. The record is from RNAcentral.